CAGAAACCCAAACUGCGGCGGCUCAGCUGCUCUGGGAACUCAUCCGUUCCCUCAGAUCCCAAGACAGAGCUCUUGGCCACUGCGCUGUGGAUCUAGGAGGCCCCUGCUGUUCUGAGGACUGCACAAACCACUCAGGUUUUAUUUAUAACUGACGCUCCAUGAGGGUCCUCUUGCCUUGGAC
RNAcentral lists this long non-coding RNA (181 nucleotides) under Chinchilla lanigera (long-tailed chinchilla). RNAcentral's name for it is "lncRNA (ENSCLAG00000028651.1)". The record is from RNAcentral. Lineage: Eukaryota; Metazoa; Chordata; Mammalia; Rodentia; Chinchillidae.